GGCGCCUUCCCGCUACCGCCCUGUCCCGGAAGAGGCGUGUGCGAGCAGCGGGCCUUCAGCCAAUCAGGACCCCACGUUGAGAGAGCGCUCCUUGAGCUCGGCGGGCUAGAGCGCCGCCCAAGCUGCCUCCCCAACUCCGCCCGCGUUAGCCCCGCCUUCUUCCUGGAGGACUUUCUCCGCCCAGAACGGCCGAGCGGACUAAGCGCAUCCUCUGCUCCCGGCGGAGGGGAGAGUCAGGGCUUCGGGAUCUGGAAAUUAUUCCCCACGGCCUCCACAUUUGCUGCAAAUAAACCACCUUGUGUGACAA
Molecule: non-coding RNA, 307 nt
Organism: Oryctolagus cuniculus (rabbit)
Lineage: Eukaryota; Metazoa; Chordata; Mammalia; Lagomorpha; Leporidae
Source: RefSeq, a predicted model, not a curated record